GAUGAACGCUGGCGGCGUGCCUAAUACAUGCAAGUCGAGCGAACAGGCGAGGAGCUUGCUCCUCUGACAUUAGCGGCGGACGGGUGAGUAACACGUGGAUAACCUACCUAUAAGACUGGGAUAACUUCGGGAAACCGGAGCUAAUACCGGAUAAUAUAUUGAACCGCAUGGUUCAAUAGUGAAAGACGGUUUUGCUGUAACUUAUAGAUGGAUCCGCGCCGCAUUAGCUAGUUGGUAAGGUAACGGCUUACCAAGGCGACGAUGCGUAGCCGACCUGAGAGGGUGAUCGGCCACACUGGAACUGAGACACGGUCCAGACUCCUACGGGAGGCAGCAGUAGGGAAUCUUCCGCAAUGGGCGAAAGCCUGACGGAGCAACGCCGCGUGAGUGAUGAAGGUCUUCGGAUCGUAAAACUCUGUUAUUAGGGAAGAACAAAUGUGUAAGUAACUAUGCACGUCUUGACGGUACCUAAUCAGAAAGCCACGGCUAACUACGUG
This 497-nucleotide ribosomal RNA is filed under the name uncultured bacterium. Its description in RNAcentral is "partial 16S ribosomal RNA". It matches the Rfam family "Bacterial small subunit ribosomal RNA", at positions 28 to 507 of the family's 1533-position model. The record is from RNAcentral.